UCAAAGGAAUUGACGGGGACCCGCACAAGCAGCGGAGCAUGUGGUUUAAUUCGAAGCAACGCGAAGAACCUUACCAGGGCUUGACAUGCCGCUGACCGGUGCAGAGAUGCAUCUUUAUCCUUCGGGGUACAGCGGACACAGGUGGUGCAUGGUUGUCGUCAGCUCGUGUCGUGAGAUGUUGGGUUAAGUCCCGCAACGAGCGCAACCCUUGUCUUUAGUUGCCAUCAUUAAGUUGGGCACUCUAAAGAGACUGCCGAUGACAAAUCGGAGGAAGGUGGGGAUGACGUCAAAUCAUCAUGCCCUUUAUGUCCUGGGCUACACACGUGCUACAAUGGUCGGUACAACGAGAAGCAAGUCAGCGAUGGCAAGCAAAUCUCUAAAAGCCGAUCCCAGUUCGGAUUGCAGGCUGCAACUCGCCUGCAUGAAGUCGGAGUUGCUAGUAAUCGCGGAUCAGAAUGCCGCGGUGAAUGCGUUCCCGGGUCUUGUACACACCGCCCGUCACACCAUGGGAGUUGUCAAUACCCGAAGCCAGUGAGCUAACCAGUAAUGGAGGCAGCUGUCGAAGGUAGGGGCAAUGACUGGGGUGAAGUCGUAACAGGUAGCCGUAUCGGAAGGUGCGGCUG
This 623-nucleotide ribosomal RNA is filed under the name uncultured bacterium. RNAcentral's name for it is "SSU rRNA". It matches the Rfam family "Bacterial small subunit ribosomal RNA", at positions 901 to 1520 of the family's 1533-position model. The record is from RNAcentral.